RNAcentral lists this long non-coding RNA (2248 nucleotides) under Homo sapiens (human). RNAcentral describes it as "HSALNT0386956". Lineage: Eukaryota; Metazoa; Chordata; Mammalia; Primates; Hominidae. The record is from RNAcentral.
UAUAGGUCCAUUUUUGCCUAACUCAGAAGUCCUUUAACAAGCAGCUUUUGAUCAGGGACACUUCAUUGGCCUGGUUGAAGUUUUUGCAAAAGUGGGCUGUGGAAUGUGGAAUGUGGAAUUCUUCCUUCCCUCUUUUCUUCCACAGCUAUCAUCCUGCCUCACUGUCUGAGGCUCUCUCAACUUUCUUCUACUCCAUUCCUUUUUAUCUGUCACAGGCAUUUCCCCCAGUAAACAGCCUGUGUAUCUAACCUUGAAUUGGCUCUGUGUCUAGGAAGAAUCAAACUGUCAGAGACAGGCACUGAGAAGAUCAGUUGAGAACACUCCUUGAGAACUCAAUUGGGUCUUCUCGUUUUCCAUUUCAAAAAGGCGGUAAGAGAAUUAAAUCAGCAAAGAGUGAAUUAUCAUGCUAAGUUCUCAAAAAAGGCUUGAUUCUUGGUGAAGACAGCCAGGGGACUCUGAAACUUCGCUUUGGAUUUAUGCAUACGGUUAACUCUCAUUGCAGGGCCGGUGGUAUUUUGAAUUUAUUACUUUCUGAUUGGGCAUUACUUUUUUUUUUUCUUAGGGCACAAAGGACUAUCUUGAGUGACAUGGUUUUCUAAUACCUACAAGCUUUAUAUCUUUAAUUACUCAUCAGAGAAGGCAGGAAAUAAAGUAGUUCCUAAGCAUAUACAUAUUUCAGGUAUCUAUUUCUGGAAAGAAGAUUUUUACUUGUUUUUAAUUUGUUUUUUCUUUUUGCUGAUAUCCUUUUGAUUAUUCACCCCCUUACAAUUAUCUCACCCUUUUGAGGUGGGCCUAGCUCUUGAUGGUGGUGGGUAAGGCGCAAACAGAGUAGUCUGUGCAGCCACCUGCCACAACAUGUAGCAACCCAAGCUGAUGCAGAAAAGCUUCCUGGAGAGUGAUCUCCAUCCUGCUCAGGGUUCAUCUUUAGCCCUCAUGUGACAGUCCUGGCCGAAAGGAACUGGAUUCUUAAGAUGAAAACAAAGUUGAUAUCUCACUCACUUCGAUUUGAUGCACUUUACCUUCCAUAGCAAAUAUUUAUUACAUCCGACAAGACAAAGGCAACGGGCAGAAAAGUGUACAGCCAUUUCUGUCACACUGAGAAUCAAGCCUGGAUUGCCUCCAGUGAGAAGAUGAUACAGGACUAUUAUAAGGACAAGAUUUUUCAGGAUAAGACACAGUUCUCAUGUGUUCAGACAGAUUGCUUUUCAAAUCACUCUGUAUAGGGAUGGGUUAAACCCAGCUCUAAAAUAAAUAUUUAUAUGCCCUAAAGUUUCCAACUAGGAAGGCGGAAAGGCUCAGAUAUCAAUGACCAGCAUGGGCAGUGACAUGGGUGAAAUGUGGUGUUGCUGGCAUCAAAUUUUCUCAGCUUUCAACUAUUCUCUGUUUUUCUAGAGGAUUGAAUACAUCCUGAUAUUUGAGAACCAGUUGUUAGGCAAUGCAUUUGAAUUAUUAAUAAGAAUGAAGAGGUAACCAUGGCAAGAGAGGAAAAAAAUAAAACUAGCUCUCCAGGUUGCGGAGAUGGUACCUGCAAACUGCUAAGAUACAUAAAAGCAAGGGAAUACAACUUAGAGCAUAGAUGCUUAAAUGCACUUCCUUUCUCUCAUCCACUACCUUAAAGGUAGCAAUUAUGCUUUAUGUGUCCAUGAUAACAAAUGUCUUCUCCAUUCAUCUGUGGCUAGUAGCUUACAAGGCAAAGAUUGCACACAAGGUGACAGGUUUGCUCUCCUCCCUUCCCCACCCCCACUCCCGCACAUCCCCCUGUAAGAGGGACCUCUCAUCCACGUCUCCCAGAGAUUACUGCAAUUAGCAUGUUUCCUAUCAACCCUUCCUGUAAAUCUUUGGUUCAAGGAAGUUUCCUUCCAUCCCUCACCUAGAAGAAAGUAGACAAAAACACAGGCUCAGCACUUUCCAAGUCAAAAAAUAUAGUCAGGUCCUCACCAAACAUGGGCAAUUCUCUGCUCUUUAUCUAUGCAUUUCCUCAACCUUACAUUGACUCAAGGAAGAUAUGCUUCCCCUUAGGAGAGCCAAGUGAGUUAAAAACCAUUGUCAUAGUGUGCCCAAGUGUGAAAAUUAUUAAAGUACCCUUUUGUACAGCUCCUGGAUGAGAGGAGACAAUAGCUGGUGGGGCUGGAGUGCAGGUCUUUAAUCUUCUAUAGGAGUCACCCGUAAAAUUUGAUUCGUUCAAUAGAAGGGGUGCUGGAGUACCUGCUAGAAGUCAGGCCCACCCUGUGCUCUGUACUUGUCUGUA